RNAcentral lists this ribosomal RNA (207 nucleotides) under uncultured bacterium. RNAcentral's name for it is "partial 16S ribosomal RNA". It matches the Rfam family "Bacterial small subunit ribosomal RNA", at positions 568 to 774 of the family's 1533-position model. The record is from RNAcentral.
CUCGUAGGCGGCAAUGUAAGUUGGGGGUGAAAUCCCGGAGCUCAACUCCGGAACUGCCUCCAAAACUACAUAGCUCGAGGAUGUGAGAGGAUAGUGGAAUUCCAAGUGUAGAGGUGAAAUUCGUAGAUAUUUGGAAGAACACCAGUGGCGAAGGCGACUGUCUGGCACAUUUCUGACGCUGAGGAGCGAAAGCGUGGGGAGCGAGCA